AGCUGCAGCCUUGUGAGAUGGAGGGGGGGUCUGGUUUGCAGAGGCUUCUCGCCAGUGUUGUUGGCGGUUAUUAAAAGCAUGAUGCAUAAGGUUGUCAGACAGACAGGAAGCAUGUAGGAAUGCAGAAGGCUGCAAAAGUGUGCGGCUGAAACGACGGAACGGGAAAAAGAUUUCUGCUCAGCUUCCAGGUAUGUGAGGCCCGACGCACAAGGAGAGGCUCAUGUAGGUUCAUGCCUCUAUAUCUCUGCCCCUGGAGCUUUCCGAUGAAGGAAUAUCCACGUUAAAGCCGAGCUGUCUCAAUACUGGAACUGAAUUCUAACACAAUCUGUCGGAAUCUAAGAGGUUUGGAAGGAUGUCUGAGCCGGUGUGCUUCCAUCUUGGCUGCAGUUACCCAUGGUGACAUCCUGGACCUGCCGGGCCCCAACCAGUCUUCAAGGUCACCUCCUUGAAACACCAUCGCUCCUUUGUCCUCCUCCUCAGUCAGGAAGCCCAUCACACAGCCGGUCCGGCUGGACUUGAAUACUUUGCCUCAUUUAAUACAAACCGUGCAAAUGUUGCCAACCCGUCUCUAGUACAAUAUGGGAUUAAACCAGGCAAUAUAAAGUGGCUAACUGAUGUAGUGAAAUGUGUAAUGGGUGUAGGUCUCAGCGGAGGGGGUUUAUCUGCUAAAUCCCAGCAGUUGGCCCUGCUAUCAUGGACAAUGACCCAAAAUAAUGUCAACAGCUCAUUUCCACCAGAGCUGGGCUUAUGUGUGGGGGAGUGUGUGGGUGUGUGUGUGUGUGUGUGUGUCCUGGGGAUACAGAGGUAUACAGUAUAUAAGCUUCUGGCAGCGAUACUGGCUCAACAGCAGACUGAUGUGAUUGAUAGGAUUUUUGCUCGGCUCACCACUUUUAGGGUCAAAGAAUCCAUAAGAGGUUAAAUUUAUAGAUGCUGAGUCAAAGGAUUGCUGAUUCAAUUCCAUUCGCCAUUUGAAGUGAGUUUGUUGCUUUUGUUUGAAGAUAUGUACAGAAAUAAAAAUCCUUGAAAUGCUCAAUAAAACACAUUGAAGAAAGCCUUCCUGUUUUUGUGUCCUUUUAAAAAACAUGAAUGGAAGAAAAAGCAUGAAUGAAUAAAUUUUAGUCCUUAGCCAAUCAAAAUGAAAACAAAACUUUUAACAUUUGAA
Oryzias melastigma (Indian medaka) is the source of this 1162-nucleotide long non-coding RNA. RefSeq lists it as uncharacterized. The transcript is spliced from 3 exons. The record is from RefSeq and is a predicted model, not a curated record. NCBI's taxonomy places the organism in Eukaryota, Metazoa, Chordata, Actinopteri, Beloniformes, Adrianichthyidae.